This 508-nucleotide ribosomal RNA is filed under the name uncultured bacterium. RNAcentral's name for it is "partial 16S ribosomal RNA". It matches the Rfam family "Bacterial small subunit ribosomal RNA", at positions 29 to 523 of the family's 1533-position model. The record is from RNAcentral.
AACGAACGCUGGCGGCAUGCCUAACACAUGCAAGUCGAACGGCAGCGGGGGAGAAGCUUGCUUUUCCUGCCGGCGAGUGGCGAACGGGUGAGUAAUACAUCGGAACGUGCCCUGUAGUGGGGGAUAACUAGUCGAAAGAUUAGCUAAUACCGCAUACGACCUGAGGGUGAAAGUGGGGGACCGCAAGGCCUCAUGCUAUAGGAGCGGCCGAUGUAUGAUUAGCUAGUUGGUGGGGUAAAGGCCUACCAAGGCGACGAUCAGUAGCUGGUCUGAGAGGACGAUCAGCCACACUGGGACUGAGACACGGCCCAGACUCCUACGGGAGGCAGCAGUGGGGAAUUUUGGACAAUGGGCGAAAGCCUGAUCUAGCAAUGCCGCGUGUGUGAAGAAGGCCUUCGGGUUGUAAAGCACUUUUGUCCGGAAAGAAAUGGCUCUGGUUAAUACCUGGGGUCGAUGACGGUACCGGAAGAAUAAGGACCGGCUAACUACGUGCCAGCCGCCGCGGUAA